This 505-nucleotide ribosomal RNA is filed under the name uncultured bacterium. RNAcentral's name for it is "bacterial SSU rRNA". It matches the Rfam family "Bacterial small subunit ribosomal RNA", at positions 979 to 1482 of the family's 1533-position model. The record is from RNAcentral.
GCUUGAACUGCGAGUGACCACUCAUGAAAGUGAGCUUCCGCAGGNACACUCGUAGAGGUGCUGCAUGGGCUGUCGUCAGCUCGUGUCGUGAGAUGUUGGGUUAAGUCCCGCAACGAGCGCAACCCUUGUUUCCUGUUGCCAUCACGUAAAGGUGGGCACUCUGGAGAGACUGCCGGUGACAAACCGGAGGAAGGUGGGGAUGACGUCAAGUCAGCAUGGCCUUUAUGUCCAGGGCUACACACGUGCUACGAUGGCCGAUACAAACCGUCGCAAACUCGCAAGGGUGAGCUAAUCGGAGAAAGUCGGUCUCAGUUCGGAUUGUCGGCUGCAACUCGCCGGCAUGAAGUUGGAAUCGCUAGUAAUCGCGGAUCAGCAUGCCGCGGUGAAUACGUUCCCGGGCCUUGUACACACCGCCCGUCACACCACGAAAGUUGGCAAUACCCGAAGCCGGUGGGCUAACCCGCAAGGGAGGCAGCCGUCGAAGGUAGGGUCGAUGAUUGGGGUG